RNAcentral lists this ribosomal RNA (497 nucleotides) under uncultured bacterium. RNAcentral describes it as "partial 16S ribosomal RNA". It matches the Rfam family "Bacterial small subunit ribosomal RNA", at positions 28 to 507 of the family's 1533-position model. The record is from RNAcentral.
GAUGAACGCUGGCGGCGUGCCUAAUACAUGCAAGUCGAGCGAACAGACGAGGAGCUUGCUCCUCUGACGUUAGCGGCGGACGGGUGAGUAACACGUGGAUAACCUACCUAUAAGACUGGGAUAACUUCGGGAAACCGGAGCUAAUACCGGAUAAUAUAUUGAACCGCAUGGUUCAAUAGUGAAAGACGGUUUUGCUGUCACUUAUAGAUGGACCCGCGUCGCAUUAGCUAGUUGGUAAGGUAACGGCUUACCAAGGCAACGAUGCGUAGCCGACCUGAGAGGGUGAUCGGCCACACUGGAACUGAGACACGGUCCAGACUCCUACGGGAGGCAGCAGUAGGGAAUCUUCCGCAAUGGGCGAAAGCCUGACGGAGCAACGCCGCGUGAGUGAUGAAGGUCUUCGGAUCGUAAAACUCUGUUAUUAGGGAAGAACAAAUGUGUAAGUAACUAUGCACGUCUUGACGGUACCUAAUCAGAAAGCCACGGCUAACUACGUG